UGCGGAAUUUUGGUCAAUGGGCGAAAGCCUGAACCAGCGACCCCGCGUGAAGGAUGAAGGUUUUCGGAUCGUAAACUUCUGUGGUAAGGGAAAAAUGUCAUUGAGCAGUGGAAAGCUCAAUGGAGAGAUGGUACCUUAUUAGAAAGCCCCGGCUAACUACGUG
This 163-nucleotide ribosomal RNA is filed under the name uncultured bacterium. RNAcentral's name for it is "partial 16S ribosomal RNA". It matches the Rfam family "Bacterial small subunit ribosomal RNA", at positions 355 to 507 of the family's 1533-position model. The record is from RNAcentral.